This 7619-nucleotide long non-coding RNA is filed under the name Homo sapiens (human). RNAcentral's name for it is "non-protein coding lnc-MBTPS2-1:1". Lineage: Eukaryota; Metazoa; Chordata; Mammalia; Primates; Hominidae. The record is from RNAcentral.
GGGGAGGAGAGAAAAACUGUGGGACCUAGUGAAGGAUGUAGGAGAAAGUUGUUAUCAUUGUUUUAGCAAUAGGAGAAUUGUGUGCAUGUUUUUGGUGCUAAUGGAAAGGACCCGAGAUAAAAUAAUUGAGGGAAGAGAUGGGAGCCAGGGCACGAUAGAGCCUUCAUUAAGAGGGAUGCCCUUUCUAAGAGGAGGAAAAAUGGAUGCAAGCAUAGUUGUCAUGGUUUUGAUAGAGAACCUCAUGUGGCUGUCCAUCAAACAUCACUUGAGUCAUAGGUGUCUAGAACACUAUUUUGCACCUUAGAAAUAUUUGAAUAGACACCUUAGAAAUCUUUGCUGAGUAAGACAGAUUCCUCGCAUAGCUGCAAGAAGCUUAGCCAAACCCAUUUCUAAAUUAAAACUACCAGCAAAGAGGUACUUGAGUAAUAGGCACAGGGUGCUCAGCUCUGGGCUAAUAGCAUUGAAUGUCCUGAUUUUUAGAAUGUUCUGUGCUUAACUUCUCAGGCAACACAGGCUGAAGUAUAAGAGUUGAAGGGAUUUAGAAUAAGUCAUUGUUUCAUUAAAAAUUAUUUUUGGCUGAAGGAGAAAUAAGAUUUGGAUGGGGACACAGCUAAAUCAUAUCAUAUACCAUCUUAAUUGGGGAUGGUAUUUUUUUUUUUUCUUGAGACAGAGUCUUUCUCAUGCUAUUCUCGUGAUAGUGAAUAAGUCUCAUGAGAUCUGAUGGUUUUAUAAAGGGAUCUUCUCCUGUACAUGCUGUCUUGCCUGCCACCAUGUAAGACAUGCCUUUGCUCUUCCUUCACAUUCUGCCAUGAUUGUGAGGCCUUCCCCAGCCAUAUGGAACUGUGAGUCCAUUAAACCUCUUUCCUUUAUAAAUUACCCAGUCUGUCCAUUAAACCUCUUUCCUUUAUAAAUUAUCCAGUCUCAGGUGUGUUUUUAUUAGCAGCAUGAAAAUGGACUAAUACAGUGUAUAAGCCCCAAAUUCUAACCACCUCCUUGAGUCACAUUUCCUUGUGAAUUUCCAUGCCAACCAACAUAAUUAAAUGUUGCUGUCUCUUGUGAAUCUGUCUUUUAUCAGUUUAAUUUACAGGGCUCCAAGAAAAGAACCAAAGAGGGCAGAGGAACAGUUUUUCCUCUCUGACAGAAUAAAAGGGCAUGAUGUUUGAAGCUUACUUCCAAAUGGUUCUGAGAGAAUGAGCUAAUAGAGCAAAUGUAGCAAAACAUUAACAAUUGUUGAAUCUGGGUGAAGGAUUUGAGGGAGUUUUUGGUACUGUUCUUGAAACUUUUUUUUGAAAUUAUUUCAAAAUAAAAUUAUUUUUAAAAGAAGAAUAAGCUUCUGCAUUUAUUCAUCACCUCUGCUUUUUUUUUUUACUCUAUUUCCACUUUCAACACUUUUUUACUCACAACUUCCUAUGAGUGGAAAGGAUGAGGAAUUUGAAAGACAGGGCUGCCUUUUGGGUUUGUGCAAAAUCUCUGUGUCUUAAUUUGUCUAUCUGUAAAAUGAGGAUAAUAUCUUCAAACGUUUGCUACAUGAACUGAGAUGAGGAUACAGUAGGCCCUCAAUAAAUGUUAUUGCCUACCCUUCUAAGACCAGUUCAAGUCCUAUUUCCUUUAUUAAGUCUUCCCUCAUCACAUCCAUGAUAAAAAUUUAUUUUAUAUCGUACCAUACAUUUAGCUAAAUGGCUUUCUCAUACAUUACCUCAUUGAAUUAUCCCAAUAACCUUACAAGUUAGGUUAUCAUUUUCUCUACAUCAUAGAUAAGGACAUUUAAUGAAGUUAAAAGAUUUGGCUAAAAUCACACAGUCGGUCAAUAGAAAUAACAGAAUGAAAACUCAGGUUCUUUUAGCCCCAAGUUGUAUCCUCUAUGUUAUACCACAAUUUGAUAUUUCUCCUACUCAAGUGUUUUAAGUGUGGUAAGAAUAUACAUAACAUAAAAUUUACUAUGUUAACAAUUUUAAAAUGCACUGUUUAGUGGCAUUAAGUACUUUCACGUUGUUAUGCAACCACUAUCCAUCACUAGAACUUUUUCAUCUUGCAAAAACUGAAAUUCUGUACCAUUUCAACACCAACUCCCCACUCCUCCCUUCCCCCCAGCCCCUGGUAACCACCAUUCUACUUUCUGUCUCUAUGAAUUUGACUGCUGUAGAUAUAAGUGGAAUCAGGCCUGGUGUGGUGGCUCACACCUGUAAUUGCAGCACUCUGGGAGGCCAAGGCGGGAGGGUUGCUUGAGCUCAGGAGUUUGAGACCAGGCUGGGCAACAUAGUGAGACCUGUUGUCUACAAAAAAAUUAAAAAAUUAGCUGGAAGUGGUGGUGCAUACCUGUAGUCCCAGCUACUUGGGAGGCUAAGGCAGGAGCAUCGUUUGAGCCCAGGAGGUCAAGGCUGCAGUGAGCUGUGAUGGCGCCACUGCACUCCAGUCUGGGCAACAGAGCAAGACCCUGCCUCAAAAUAAAAUAAAAUAGGCCAGGCGUGGUGGCUCACACCUGUAAUCCCAGCAUUUUGGGAGGCCGAGGUGGGUGGAUCACCUGAGGUCAGAUGUUUGACCAACAUGCUGAAACCCCAUCUCUAUUAGAAAUACAAAAAAAAAAUUAUCCGGGUGUGGUGGCGGGAGUCUGUAGUCUCAGCUAUUCGGGAGGAUGAGGCAAGAGAAUCGCUUGAACCUAGGAAGUGCAGGUUGAAGUGAGCCAAAAUCAGGCUACAGCACUCCAGCCUGGGCAACAAGAGCAAAACUCCAUCUCAAAAAAUAAAUAAAUAAAAUAAAAUAAAAAUUUAAAACUAAAAAAUAAUUAUACAAAAAGGGAAUCAUACAGUAUUUGUCCUUUUGUGAUUGGCUGAUUCCACUUAGCACGAUGUCCUCAAGGUUCAUUUAUGCUGUAGCAUGUGUCUUAAGUUUUAUAAACACUUGUGCUCAUGGCACUCAUGUACAACUUCGUGUGUCCUUAUUUUCUUUCCUGGUUUAUAAACUCCUUGGGGGCUGAAAUCCCAUGCUUUCUCUUGGUAUUGCCACGCUCAUAGUGCCUCGUUCAUAACAGUGCCCAAUGAACUCUCUUGAAUGGGUAGAUACAGGCCACUCUAAAGUAGAAAACGAUCCCUCUCCUAUACUUGAUGAAACUUGUAUACAGUUUCAUCACUGCUGUCAGCUAUUGGAGACAAGGAGCUGGACAAGCAUAAUUGUUCUCCCUACUAUUGAAACGGGAGCCAGACGAAUUAAGAAGAUUCCCCAGGUUGGAAGUAUGACAGGCAGGUGAACUUUAGUCAAGUAGAAUUAGCUCUCUGCCCAGUGUAAAAACGUAUAUGCAGUAUUCUUCAAAGAGGAAAAAAUCUCAUCUUUUAGUCAUAUGAAGUGAGAGAGAGUUUGGUCGUGGCUUUUUUUUUUUUUUUUUUUUCCCUGAGAAAAAGAAAUGAGAUCUGUCAAGACUGAACUUUGCAGGAGAGAAAUCAUCAAUCUUUGGUGUCAUCUGAGUGCAUUGGAAAUGCAUUUGCCUUGUCUUGCGGUUUGAUUGUUGUCUAAUCCCUGUAAACAUUAAAGGAUAAAAACAGGAGAAAUGGAACAAGAAAUAUGUGGGAUCCAGGUUUUAGCUGUGCUGCCCGCUGGUGACUUUCGAGGUGAAGCUUUCAGGUCCCUUCUCCCUAGCACACCCAUGCCUCCACCUCUAUGAAGCAAUAGAGCUUCAAGGGCAAAUCUGGCCUCAGAGCCCAGAGGGGAAUAUGGCCACAUCAGGGACCACCCCAGGAGACUCAAAGGCCUGCAUCUCUUUGUCUUGCAGGAGUUGCUGCUGGACCACAUGACACCAGUCCCAUUCUUGAAGCAGAAUGUUCAAAGAGUGUGUACAAAAUGCAGAAGCCACCCAUUUCCAAGAAAAACGGCUAUGCUUCAACCAGCCUAAGUCUACUGCAAGCAAGGGCACCCAUAAGAGAUGGACCUUGAGGGAUUCAACCUAACUAACUGUGAGUAAGGACGUCUAGCACAUUUUGGAGAGUACUGGUAUGAGACAGAUUCCAAAUAAAAUAACCGGAGGCAGGCUGGGUGCAGUGGCUCAUGCCUAUAAUCCCAGCUCUUAGGGAGGCAGAGGCAGGAGGAUAGCUUGAGCCCAGGAGUUCGAGACUUGCCUGGGCAAUGUAGCAAGACCCCAUUCUCUACAAAAAGGAAAAAAACAAACAAACAACAACAACAAAAAAAAAAAAACAAGAAAUAACUCUAGGCAGCCUGUAACAUACUAAAUUAUUUCCCAUUAGCACAUUAGCACAUAAACACCAUUAGCACAUCUUUUUGAAUAUGUAAGGUCUGUGGAGAUAAGACUACACACAGGAUCUCAAAGAAUCUCCCUUACUAAGGGGGAAAUCAAGUUGGCUUUUAUCCUAGCAACUUACUUAAGCCUUAACAUACUUACAAUUGUUUUACAUAGUAUAUAAUAUUUCCCAUACUUGAUUGUGUUUCUUAAGUUUCAUUUUUAAUUUUCAAAUCAAAACAGGAAAUAUGGGCUGGGCACAGUGUCCCACACUCUCAGCACUUUGGGAGGAUAGCUUGAGGCCAAGAGAUCAAGACCAGUCUGGGCAACAUAGCAAGACUCUGCCUCUACAAAAUUUUUUUAAUUAGCCAAGCAUGGUGGCAUGCAUCUGUAGUCCCAGCUACUCGGGAGGCUGAGGCAGGAUUGCCUGAGCCCUGGAGUUCGAUACUGCAGUGAGCUAGGAUCAUACCAACAUGCUCCAGCCUGAGUGAGAGAGGAGGACCCCGUCUCAAAAAACUGUCAAAAAAAAAAAAAAAAACAGAAAAUAUAGAGAAGAGGUAGCUAUUUAGAAUGCUUGUAGAACUUUUGUAACAUUACUGUUUUUUAGACUGAGGAACAUUCUCCAAAAAUAUGAUUUUGCACACACUUUUGAUUGCCUAACCAAAAGUCAUUUCUCUCUCUCUUUCCCUUCUGGCAGGGCCUGCUUCCCAUAAGAAGGGCUAAAAAUGCCAGACACUCUCUUUCAGCCUCUUUUGCAGGUAGGGCUGGCCACAUGACCCAUCUGGUCAAAUUAACCUUUCAGCCACACCCUCCCAAAAGGCUUUUAGAAAGAUUUUUCAUGGUAAUGAAAACAACAGAUAUUCAAGGAGAGCUUUUUUUCCCCACCUCUUCCUUCCUGACAUUUCAUAGGCAUUUCAUUUCAUGGGAGCUAUGGAAGCUAUAUUGCAGCCAUUAAGCAGUAGACAAAGCGAACGUGCUGAGGAUGGCAACAAACAGGGAUGGAAAGAACCUGGAUCACUGAUGAUGACACUGUUUAGCUUGGGACCAUCACCUUCUGUAUUAGUCAGGGUUCUCUAGAGGGAGAGAACUAAUAAGAUUUAUAUAUAUAUACAUAAAGGGGAGUUAAUUAAGUAUUAACUCACACAAUCAAGAGGUCCCACAACAGGCGGUCUGCAAUCUGAGGAGAAAGGAGAGCCAGUCCGAGUCCCAAAACUGAAGAACUGGGAGUCCGAUGUUUGAGGGCAGGAAGCAUCCAACACGGGAGAAGGAUGUAGGCUGGGAGGCUAGGCAAGUCUAGUCUUUUCACAUUUUUCUGCCUGCUUUAUAUUCUACCCAUGCUGGCAGCUGAUUAGAUGGUGCCCACCCAGAUUAAGGGUGGGUCUGCCUUUCCCAGUCCACUGACUCAAAUGUUAAUCUCCUUUGGCAACACCCUCACAGACACACUCAGGAUCAAUGCUUUGCAUCCUUCAAUCCAAUCAAGUUGACACUCAGUAUUAACCAUCACACGUUCUAAACACCUUAUUAUGUAAAAUGAUACAAUCCUGUUGGAUAUGCCACCUUUUUUUGAAACAGGGUCUCACCCUGUUGCCCAGGCUACAGUGCAAUGGCAUGAUCACGGCUCACUGCAGCUUCAAACUCCUGGGCUCAAAGUGAUCCUCCCAUGUCAGCCUCCUGAGUAGCUGGAACCACAGGCAUGUGCCACCAUGCCUAGCUAAUUUUUUUUUUAGAGAGAGACAGGCUCUUGCUAUGUUGCCCAGGCUGGUCUCGAACUCCUGGGCUCAAGUGAUCCUCCUGCCUCAGCAUCCCAAACUCCUGGGAUUUUAGGCAUGUGGAGCCAUUGUGCGUGGCUGGAUAUUGUUUUUACCACUUUUAGCUGGAUAUUGUUAUUCACAGCUGAAAGCACCUUAACAUAUUCAAUGCGAUUUUAAAUACAGUCCAAGUGGAACCUAUUUUACACCAAAUAUUGACUAACUUUCUGUCAGACAUUGGAAGGCCAUGUUCCUAAACAUAAGCAUAUGAGAAAAUCCUUGUAAUGAUGAGAUAAAGGGAGUUUGCCAGUUUAAACACCCGCGGGUUGCCCUGGCAAAUGUCAGGUGUCACAGGGUCGGAAAGAUUAGUUCAUAAUGUACUAGGAAAAACAUCCUGCAAUGUAUAUGAAAAUAUAUAUUGUAAAAAAUCUUUUUGGCUAAAUGUAUUGGCACGAUUAUUAGAAUACAAUCUAGAAACAUUUACUUUAAAUUUUAAGAGCAAAGACAAGACUUCUAAUCUUAAUUAGUCAAAGUUUUUCUUAAGGAUUUCAAUUCAAAUGUGUCCUUUAUUCUGAUUGUGAUGGGACUUUUGAUUUCUCCUAUUUGAAAUGCCAUGUGAAUGUCUUAGAAAACCCAGACAUCUGACCUUAUAUUUUACUUGAUAAAUUGAAAAAGCCACUUGCUGAUAAAAUUUUGUUAUUCACAGGUAUUACAUGAGUGAAUUCAUUUUUCUACUUGCUAGUUUUCUAGACAACUAUCUUCAUUAAAAUUUUAGAUUACUGUAAUUUACAUGGAGUUCACACAUUCAAUUUACAGAUUUAGAAUACUUAAUCAAUUGAUGUCCAUUUUAUUUUUUCAUUUAGUUGCUGAGAUAAGACAUCCAUUUUUCUCAAAAUGUAUCAGAUCAAGCUAAAAAAAAAGAAAUGAAAUUAAUAUGAAAAUAUCUAUUAAAGGACAUCAGUGUCCAAGCUCACCAUCCUUUCUAACUAUCUUUCAUCUGAACAUAGUCAGGGCUUAUACAAUAGAAUUAAAUAUACCAUCCCAGAGGACACCUGGCAGUGUCCAGAGACAUUUUUGGUUGUCACAACAUGGAGGCGCAGUGCCACUGGCAUCCUUGGUAGAGGACAAGGAUGCUGCUACACAUCCCACAGUGCACAGGACAACCCCCACAGCAAAGAAUGCUCCAGCCCAAAAUGUCAAUAGUGCCAGGGUUAAGAAACCCUGUUCUACACCAAGCACCUUGAUGUCUAAAAUACAACACAAACUGGUUCUUUGUUCAUUAGAAUUCCUACAGAGGAAAGAAUAGAUUACUAUCAUUUUACAGUCAUCUCAACAAUUGAAGUCAGGAGAAGCCUUGAUUCUUAUAAACUGCAAAACAUUAGUUUGAAGUCUAGUUUGUAGGUAUCAUUUGUUUUCUAUGAGGAAUUCCUUCUUUUGAUGUUAUAUUUUCUUUCAUUCAAAGACAGGACUUACAUGAGCCUUCCUUUCUGCUGUUCCUUUUCUUAAAAAAAAAUGUCUUAUGGCUGGGUGCAGUGGCUCAUGCCCGUAAUCUCAGCACUUUGGGAGGCCAAGGCAGGCGGAUCACCUGAGGUCAGGAGUUUGAGACCAGCCUGCCCAACAUGGUGAAACCCUGUCUCUACGAAAAA